This 2675-nucleotide long non-coding RNA is filed under the name Manihot esculenta (cassava). RNAcentral describes it as "long non-coding RNA (MESC_LNC007065)". Lineage: Eukaryota; Viridiplantae; Streptophyta; Magnoliopsida; Malpighiales; Euphorbiaceae. The record is from RNAcentral.
UGACAUAAAGUGUGUAUUUUUAUUUUUAAAUAAAGGGGAUUGAAUUGGAACUAGACCUGAACUGGCUUCCACUGAUUCAAUUCUGGUUCUUCUCCUUCAUGAACCAGAACCAUUGGUUCCUACUUCCUGGUGGUUCAUGAACCAUGGCCAUGCCUAGUUGUUCCUAGAUCUCUAGCAAAAGCCUUGUGAGAGUUGUGUUUUGUGCAAUUGGACUUGGAAAAUAUUUUUAUUACUCUUUCCAAUUUUGUCAUAAAAAGCUGCGUCUCUCUGGACUAUGGUAGCGACAUUUUCUUCUAGGCAGUUUAGCAAUUUAAGAAGAUUCAAAAAAGGCCCGUGGGCUUGACAAGCGUUGCCAAAUAUUAUAUCAUAACUAUCUGAUGGGUAAACAGCCGGGCUUGUGAGCUGUUACAUAGCAGACCUGUAAUUCUCUUUGAAAUAGAGAAAUAGGGAGAGAGUUGGGUUGAGAAAAGAAAUAGAAAGGGGAGAAGUAAUAGAGAGAAUUAGAGAAGAGGAGAGAGCAGAAAUAUAGAGAAAGAGUUUAUCUUGAUUACUAAUGAUGUUGGAUAUCUUUCUCUUUACAAACAAGUUCCUAUUUAUACUAUUUUGGGUCUCAUAACUAGUUUCUACAGUUACAAUUGACUGAAGAGACUAAUCUACUAUUUCUUUAUUGCUUAGUCAUAACAUUCCCCUCUCCUUGUAAUUAUUCUCGUCCCCAAGGAUGAAGAAAAUGCUGUAUAUUGAAAUGAAUUUCUGGUGCUUCUUUCCUCAGCCUUGGUCGGAAAGGACAUGGAAGUCCCAAACAGCAGCUUUUGCUGGGCAGUUAAUCCCCUCCCAAAUAUUAACUUCUUGCACGUGCUUUAGCUGAAAGUUGAAAUGUUCCAGAGAAUUGGGCUAAAGUUGUAGCUGACAGUAUGGACUCUUUAUUGACAAGUUUUUUUUUUUUCUUUCUUUUUCUUCUCCAAAUUUCCCAUGCUUGUUCUUUCAAAAUCACAUUUCCAUUUGAUGGUUGAAUUUUCUUCCUUUCCCUUCUCGAUAUUUCCCAUUCAUCUUCCAAGAGACUUAUAGGAUUACAGCAACUGAACUCCCCAUCGUGUUCCCUAAAAUUCUGCCAAUUGCUUACUAUAUUCACACUUUUUGUAACUCCUUUAUCUUUCUUGUUUUCGAGAACAUUCCCACUAAUUUCUAUAGUAAAAAAAUUUAGUUUUAGCUUCUGUUGUCCCUAUUCCAGAUUCUAGUUCCAUGUCAUCACCAUCUUCAUUAUUCUCCUUCUCAUAGAUGACCUCAUUUACACUAGACAAAUCAGCAAUAAAAUCCUCCUCCAUAACAGUACCCUUGUCUUCAUUUUUGGAAGUUUCAUAUAAGGUAUCUUGUUCUUCACUAGGGCUUUCAAAAAGUUGAUCUUUAUGAACAAAGACUGCAACCUUCUCUCUUUGAGUGGAUUGCUCUAAUUUUUCCCAUUUUUGAUCCAAUCUUUCCAUUUUCUGAAUCACUUUUUCAAUUCUUUGUUCCAGCGACUCUUGUUCCUUAACAUUCUAUCUAGAAUUUCCACUCCUCUAUUAAUAAACAUUUGUACCAAAGAUUGUACUUGCAUGAUUCAAGAAUUUCAAGAAUAGGGUUUCAGAAGAGAAGAAGAAAGUAAUCUUUUGUCAAGCCCAAAGCAAAGAAAUAUAAGUCCAAACCCUAGAAAGAGACAUGGAAUAGAGACCCGAAACUGCGAAAAGAAACUAGAAAAGAGACCGGGUUGAGAAAGGAAAUAGAAAACUCAGAACAGUAUUCCAAAACAGGAAACAGAGGAUAACCCUAGAAUGAGAUUUUCAAGAAUUUCAAGAAUAGAUUUCUUGAAAUGCAGGAAUUGAAAACUUUAAGAAGGAAAACAGAAGAUAUAAACAGAAAUCUACAAAAGAUCAAGAAAGAGGGAAAGAAAUUCCAUGGAAGCAAGGGAGAAGAAAUAGGGAAAAGAAAAUAAAAAAAAAAUCUCAGAGAAGAAUAAAAGGAGUAGAGGGAAAGAAGAGAGAAAGAGAAAAGAACAGAGAGAAACUUGAAAUUCUGGAAUUUUGAAAGAAUCCCAUAAUUCUGCUCAGGAUUGCAAUGCCAGCAGAAAGGAUUGGAAGGAGACCAGGUGGAAUAGAGAUCUGAUACACUUGUUACAUAGCAGACCUGUAAUUCCCUUUGAAACAGAGAAAUAGAGAGAGAAAGAAAUAGAAGUAAAUUGGAUUGAGAAAAGAAAUAGAAAGGGAGAAGUAAUGGAGAGAAUUAGAGAAGAGGAGAGAGCAGAAAUAGGGGAAAAGAGUUUAUCUUGAUUACUAAUGAUUUUGGAUAUCUUUCUCUUUACAAGCAAGUUCCUAUUUAUACUAUUUUGGGUCUCAUAACUAGUUUCUUCAGUUACAAUUGACUGAAGAGACUAAUCUACUAUUUCUUUAUUCCUUAGUCAUAACAUGAGCCUUCUCCAUUCUGUAGGCUUGGACGUGUGUUAACUGAUUAAUACUUCCAUAGGAUCAACUUGUUUCAUUAGGAAGUGUGCAUAAUAAGUAACAUUUUUUUUUUAGUUUUCUUGAUUUGAACACUUGAUUUUAGAGAUCAUCUCUGAAAACAUGAUGUGAUAGGGAAGUCUUGCAAGCUGAUUUGUUUUGAAUGGGGAAAAUAAGUUUGAGAAGAGAAGGUUUUAGGCAUUUUUU